Ochotona princeps (American pika) is the source of this 93-nucleotide small nuclear RNA. NCBI's taxonomy places the organism in Eukaryota, Metazoa, Chordata, Mammalia, Lagomorpha, Ochotonidae. The record is from Ensembl.
GUGCUCACUUUGGCAGCACACAUACUAAAAAUGGAAUUAAGCAGAGAAGAUUAGCAUGGCCGCUUUGCAAGAAUGAUAGCGUUCCAGAUUUUU